GCCCUGGUAGCUCAGUAGGAUAGAGCAUCGGUUUCCUAAACCGUUGGUCGGGGGUUCGAAUCCCUUCCGGGGCGCCA
RNAcentral lists this transfer RNA (77 nucleotides) under Acholeplasmataceae bacterium. Its description in RNAcentral is "tRNA-Arg". It matches the Rfam family "tRNA". Rfam says of the family: Transfer RNA (tRNA) molecules are approximately 80 nucleotides in length. Their secondary structure includes four short double-helical elements and three loops (D, anti-codon, and T loops). Further hydrogen bonds mediate the characteristic L-shaped molecular structure. tRNAs have two regions of fundamental functional importance: the anti-codon, which is responsible for specific mRNA codon recognition, and the 3' end, to which the tRNAs corresponding amino acid is attached (by aminoacyl-tRNA synthetases). tRNAs cope with the degeneracy of the genetic code in two manners: having more than one tRNA (with a specific anti-codon) for a particular amino acid; and 'wobble' base-pairing, i.e. permitting non-standard base-pairing at the 3rd anti-codon position. Lineage: Bacteria; Bacillati; Mycoplasmatota; Mollicutes; Acholeplasmatales; Acholeplasmataceae. The record is from RNAcentral.